AUGCAGCCAUGCCGCGUGUGUGAAGAAGGCCUUCGGGUUGUAAAGCACUUUCAGCGAGGAGGAAAGGGUGUUGUUUAAUACGCAACAUCUGUGACGUUACUCGCAGAAGAAGCACCGGCUAACUUCGUGCCAGCAGCCGCGGUAAUACGAGGGGUGCAAGCGUUAAUCGGAAUUACUGGGCGUAAAGCGUGCGUAGGUGGUUUGUUAAGCAAGAUGUGAAAGCCCCGGGCUCAACCUGGGAACUGCAUUUUGAACUGGCAAACUAGAGUAUUGUAGAGGGUAGUGGAAUUUCCAGUGUAGCGGUGAAAUGCGUAGAGAUUGGAAGGAACAUCAGUGGCGAAGGCGGCUACCUGGACAAAUACUGACACUGAGGCACGAAAGCGUGGGGAGCAAACAGGAUUAGAUACCCUGGUAGUCCACGCCGUAAACGAUGUCAACUAGCCGUCUGUGACCUUGAGUCGUGGGUGGCGCAGCUAACGCACUAAGUUGACCGCCUGGGGAGUACGGCCGCAAGGUUAAAACUCAAAUGAAUUGACGGGGGCCCGCACAAGCGGUGGAGCAUGUGGUUUAAUUCGAUGCAACGCGAAGAACCUUACCAUCCCUUGACAUCCAGAGAAGAGACUAGAGAUAGACUUGUGCCUUCGGGAACUCUGUGACAGGUGCUGCAUGGCUGUCGUCAGCUCGUGUUGUGAAAUGUUGGGUUAAGUCCCGCAACGAGCGCAACCCCUAUCCUUAUUUGCCAGCGCGUAAUGGCGGGAACUCUAAGGAGACUGCCGGUGAUAAACCGGAGGAAGGUGGGGA
This 801-nucleotide ribosomal RNA is filed under the name uncultured Colwellia sp. RNAcentral's name for it is "bacterial SSU rRNA". It matches the Rfam family "Bacterial small subunit ribosomal RNA", at positions 386 to 1179 of the family's 1533-position model. The record is from RNAcentral. Lineage: Bacteria; Pseudomonadati; Pseudomonadota; Gammaproteobacteria; Alteromonadales; Colwelliaceae.